This 468-nucleotide ribosomal RNA is filed under the name uncultured bacterium. Its description in RNAcentral is "partial 16S ribosomal RNA". It matches the Rfam family "Bacterial small subunit ribosomal RNA", at positions 28 to 507 of the family's 1533-position model. The record is from RNAcentral.
GACGAACGCUGGCGGCGUGCUUAACACAUGCAAGUCGAACGGAAAGGCCCUGCUUUUGUGGGGUGCUCGAGUGGCGAACGGGUGAGUAACACGUGAGUAACCUGCCCUUGACUUUGGGAUAACUUCAGGAAACUGGGGCUAAUACCGGAUAGGAGCUCCUGCUGCAUGGUGGGGGUUGGAAAGUUUCGGCGGUUGGGGAUGGACUCGCGGCUUAUCAGCUUGUUGGUGGGGUAGUGGCUUACCAAGGCUGUGACGGGUAGCCGGCCUGAGAGGGUGACCGGCCACAUUGGGACUGAGGUACGGCCCAGACUCCUACGGGAGGCAGCAGUGGGGAAUAUUGCACAAUGGGAGGAAGCCUGAUGCAGCAACGCCGCGUGCGGGAUGACGGCCUUCGGGUUGUAAACCGCUUUCGCCUGUGACGAAGCGUGAGUGACGGUAAUGGGUAAAGAAGCACCGGCUAACUACGUG